GAAUAUCAAAAUUACUCUAUUAAUUUAAAACAAAUAAAUUUGAAAUAACUUUUACUAUUUGUGAUUAAAUUUAUAAUUUUCUUAAGAAAAUACAAAAAAAAAAUCACAUGUUUUUGUUUUGUUCUUAGUUCAUAAAAAAUCACAUGUUUUAGGUCCCCAAAAAGUUAACUGAAAUUUUUAAACCCUCGAUAAAAUCUUACGCAAUAUCUCAAAAUUUAAAUGAAUUAAUUUUAAUGUGGUUUGUUCUAGUUUUCUUUGGGGUAAGGCAUAGUCCCCUCAUGAAACUUUAAAGGCAAAUCAGCAAUAACUCUAAAGUCUUUGUUACUGUUUGAGACCACUCAUCA
Molecule: long non-coding RNA, 344 nt
Filed under: Trifolium pratense (red clover)
Lineage: Eukaryota; Viridiplantae; Streptophyta; Magnoliopsida; Fabales; Fabaceae
Description: long non-coding RNA (TPRA_LNC006997)
Source: RNAcentral